CCUACGGGAGGCUGCAGUGGGGAAUAUUGGGCAAUGGGCGCAAGCCUGACCCAGCAACGCCGCGUGAAGGAAGAAGGCUUUCGGGUUGUAAACUUCUUUUAAGAGGGAAGAGCAGAAGACGGUACCUCUUGAAUAAGCCAUGGCUAACUAAGUGCCAGCAGCCGCGGUAAUACGUAGGUGGCAAGCGUUGUCCGGAUUUACUGGGUGUACAGGGCGUGUAGCCGGGCUGACAAGUCAGAUGUGAAAUCCCGUGGCUCAACCACAGAACUGCAUUUGAAACUGUCAGUCUUGAGUAUCGGAGAGGCGGGCGGAAGUCCUGGUGGAGCGGUGAAAUGCGUAGAUAUUAGGAAGAACACCGGUGGCGAAGGCAGCCUGCUGGACGACAACUGACAGUGAGGCGCGAAAGCGUGGGGAGCAAACAGGAUUAGAUACCCUUGUAGUC
RNAcentral lists this ribosomal RNA (442 nucleotides) under uncultured bacterium. RNAcentral describes it as "partial 16S ribosomal RNA". It matches the Rfam family "Bacterial small subunit ribosomal RNA", at positions 338 to 795 of the family's 1533-position model. The record is from RNAcentral.